Drosophila sulfurigaster albostrigata is the source of this 348-nucleotide long non-coding RNA. RefSeq lists it as uncharacterized. The transcript is spliced from 2 exons. The record is from RefSeq and is a predicted model, not a curated record. Lineage: Eukaryota; Metazoa; Arthropoda; Insecta; Diptera; Drosophilidae.
UCAUUGAUACGCAAAGUUGAAGCGCAAUGCCAACAAUUCCGUUCCCGCUAAUAAUAAUAAUAUUUGCUGUGCAAGCGAUUCGUUGUGAUUUGCAAUGCGAUGUGCCUGAGCAACUGGACAACACCUGCGGUACUUAUUGCCUUCAAGUUGUGAAACCACUUUUAAGCCAUGCGAAAGCUUCGCUUGAGAGGCCUGAUGACAAAAUUGAUCAAGUACUAACAAAAUUCGAGAGUAUGGUAAAAAGGUUGGACAAAGUCGAGAGUAUGGAAAAAAGGUUGGACAAAGUUGAUCAAAUACUGACAAAAAUCGAAAGUGUUGAAAAACGGUUGGACAAAGUUGAUCAAAUAG